This 768-nucleotide long non-coding RNA is filed under the name Anas platyrhynchos platyrhynchos (common mallard). RNAcentral describes it as "lncRNA (ENSAPLG00000022950.1)". The record is from RNAcentral. Lineage: Eukaryota; Metazoa; Chordata; Aves; Anseriformes; Anatidae.
GAAAAUUUAGAGGGAUUUUGUAAACUAAAUAAACAAGUCAUACAGAGAAAUCACAAUCAAACUGCAUCAGCUGAAUUUUCUAGCAUUCUUUGCUUUUAAAUACGUAGUGAUUCAUCUCAGACAUUUAUUUUUAUUUUGUUUCUUCUAAUCCUGCAGACAUGGGAAGAAUUUCCAUUUUGCAGUGCAAAUGGACCUGCCACAACAAUCCAGUGAGGCUGGUAACUCAAGUAGCACUAAAGGAAAGCACAAGUCCUCAUCUGGUUGUCAGACCGAGUUUAGGAAAACAGCGUGUUACUUCCAUCUGCUGAGAAAUGCUGCCCACUGCCUCCCUGGCUGCACACAGCAGGCUCCCAGCUCAUGAACAGUGUGGACAUGCUGGCAUCCGUGUGGUGCAGGAGGUGCUCCCCAGGCUGCAUCUGACCCUACAGCAAUGGUGCACAAGGGCUGCAGUUUACUGUGAACACUGGCCUUGCAUGUGGGAGAAGCAAGUUCACUUUUGUCAGCUCUCCCUGCCUCCAGGAAUAGCCUAAUGUCAGAGUAAGUUUUGCUCUUCCUGAUUUUCAUUCUUAACAUGGCAAUUGUUGAUCUUGAAGCUGUCACCAUAUGAGUAAGCACAUAAAAUUCAGGACUCAUAGAUAAGCAAAAUGAAAUUUGUUUCUGUAGGCAGAGAUUACAGCAGUCCUUCGGGACUUGAGUUAAAGUCUUAUUUGAUUCUGCUUUGUUAAAGGCUGUGAAAAAUAAAAUAUAAAGAUAUUUAUAUCUCCCUCA